This 1537-nucleotide ribosomal RNA is filed under the name Wickerhamomyces canadensis. Its description in RNAcentral is "small subunit ribosomal RNA". It matches the Rfam family "Bacterial small subunit ribosomal RNA". The record is from RNAcentral. Lineage: Eukaryota; Fungi; Ascomycota; Saccharomycetes; Phaffomycetales; Wickerhamomycetaceae.
AAAAGAAUAUGAUGUUAGUUCAGACUAAAUACUAUAUAGAGACAUUACACAUGCAAAUCAAACGAUUAUUUAAAAAUAAAAUUGAAAAUAAUUAAGUGGUGUAUUCGUGAGUAAAAGAUAGAAUAAGAACUAAUAAUUCAACUAAAUAUUGAAUAAUAAAUAAAGAUUUAUCUAAAUUGUUAUUAGUCAAGCUAUUUAUAGUAUAGGUAUUAUGUAGGAUAAAAGCCAUACAUAGCCCACAAUCUAUAGCAAUUAAUUAACGUUAUAAUUGUCACGUCGAUAAUGAAAUAUAAUCGAUAUCUAUAAGAUACAGCAGUGAGGAAUAUUGGGCAAUGAUCAAAAAGAUUGACCCAGUUAUCUAUAAUAAUGAAAAAUAUAGCUAUUAAAGCUUAAAAUUAAAUUUAUUUAAUAAAAAAAAAAAUAAAAUUGGUAAAAAAUAAAGUUAUAGGAGAGUGAAAAUAAUGAUAGUAACUUCAAUGAAAAUUGGUAAUAAUAAAUAAAUUUAUUAUUAUUCUGAUAGUUCCAACUAAAAUAUGUGCCAGCAGUUGCGGUUAGACAUAGGGAGCAAGUAUUAGUCAUAUUGGUUUAAAGGAUCCGUAGAAUUUAAAUAAAGAUUUAUAGAGUUAAUAAAAGUAAUAAAUGAAUUAUAAUAGUAAUGAUGAAAUAUUAUGAUAAUUAUAGGACAGACAAGUUCGAAAGUUUUUAUUAUAAAUUAACUGACAUUGAGGGAUGAAGGCUAUAAUAAUGACAUGGAUUCGAUACCCAAUUAAUUAUAGCAGUAAACUAUGAAUACUUUUCUAUUAUUAAAAAUAAAGAAAAAGAGAAAUCAAUAGUAUUCCACCAGGAGAGUAUAAUUACUCAAUUGAAACCCAAUACAAUAGACGGUUAUAAUCAAUAGCAGUGGAGUAUGUUAUUUAAUUCGAUAAUCCGCGAAAAACUUACCACAUUUUGAAUAAUUAUUAUAUAUAAUAAUUACAGGCGUUACAUAGUUGUCUUCAGUUCGUGCUGUGAAGUUUAAGGUUAGUUCCGUAAACGAACGUAUCCCUAUAUAAAUAAAAAAAAUAUUAAUAUUUAUAAUUUACUAUUUAAAUGCAUAGUAAAAAUAGGAUUAAGACAAAUCAUUAUGACCCUAAUAAUGUGGGCAAUAGACGUACUAUAAAAAAAUAAAUAAAAUCAAAUAAAAUAUAUAUAAAAAAAUUUAAUAAGAAAUAAAACUUAUUUUAAUAUGUUAUAUAUUUAUAUAUAAUAAUAGUAUGAAUUAUUUACUGAAAUUCGUAAAUAUGAAAAAAGAAUUGCUAGUAAUCAGUUAUUAAUUAAAUAACGGUGAAUAUUAUUAAUUGUUUCGCACUAAUUACUCGUCACGCGAUAAGUUAAAAAUAAUUACAAAAAUUAAUAUUAUUUAAAUAAUAUUUAUAUCUUAAUAUUUAUUAAUUAUUUUUAUAAUUUAAUUUAAUAAUAAUUUUUAUAUUAUUGCGAAGUCGAAAUACAGUUACUGUAGGGGAACCUGCAGUGGGCUAUAUAUUAUCUAUUACAUAUU